Molecule: long non-coding RNA, 399 nt
Organism: Phragmites australis (common reed)
Lineage: Eukaryota; Viridiplantae; Streptophyta; Magnoliopsida; Poales; Poaceae
Exons: 2
Source: RefSeq, a predicted model, not a curated record
GGGAUCGGGAGUGGGAAGGCAAGAAAGGAAUCUAGGAAAUUUAGUGGGUAAGGAAGCUCCCAAAAGCCUAUAAAUAGAGGAGAUGGUUGCGAGAGCCUCCUUGAGUUAGCCAUUUGAGAGCAUUUGAGAGUUGUGUGCUAGAAUUUUAGAAGAGGGAAAGAGGAGAGCUUAGCUUAUGGUUUAGGUGAGAGCUGCGUAUCUAAAUCACUUUGUAAUCCGCCGAAAAUAGGGUGUUCCUCUACAACAUUUAAGCAGCAUCAACAUCUAUUACAAUUUUUUGGCGCUGGGAAGUGACGGGAGCCGUUCAUAUGCUGAAAUAAUGUUCGCUGAACAUUACACGGAAGCUGGUGGAUGUUUCAAUCUGUGGACCUGCUUGCAGCCCUUGAUGGAAUAGUCAAG